This is a non-coding RNA of Zonotrichia albicollis (white-throated sparrow), 2044 nucleotides long. The record is from RefSeq and is a predicted model, not a curated record. Lineage: Eukaryota; Metazoa; Chordata; Aves; Passeriformes; Passerellidae.
GUUGUCCUCCCCAGACUCCAAAUUCUUCCUGGAGGUCUGUUUGGAUGGUACAUAGACCUAAAGGUUUGUCCAUAUGGUGUCACAUUGAAAUCAAUGGGAAUUUUUGGGAGUCUAAUGGCCAAACCAAGAGAAUGUCUGCAGAUGGAUUUUCACCAGAGAACUUGUUAGACCUAUAUACCACACAGCAUUUAUAUAUCACAUCAUUAUUAUGGUUUGGACCUUUUUAUACUAUCAUCUUCUUAUGGUUCUUUUCUGUUUACAGCCAGACCUGGUUAAAGCAUAGGAAACAAUGAUAAGGAAAAGGACUGUUGCUAUUAUCAGAGGAAAGGACAAGGAAUAUUUCUGCAAAACUUUUCUAGUAUUAAAUAGCUGUAAUAAUGAAGGAAAUGUAUCAGUAUGGAAAAGAAUGAGGGGUCAAGAUGAAAAGGUGGCAUUAUGAAAGGAGUGACAGGGAAGCAAUACGAUACACAGGAAGCAAUACACUACAGAAAGCAAUACACUACAGAAAGCAAUACAGUAAUCAGAAGAAAAUGUUACAAGAAACUGGGGAAACCAGGAAGCAUAAGAAGAAAUUAAAAUAUAUAUUAGUAUGGAUCAAUCAGUAGGUACAGGUAGAAUUAAGGGUAGGGAGGGUUAGAAAGAGUGAAGUCAGAAGAUAUGGCAGAGUAUUAAAAAUGUGAGGAAAAAAAUGAGAAAAUGUGAAUAUUGUCAAUACUAAGAACUCCAAAACAUGGACAGAUUUUAGAAAAAAAAGCUCUUUUUAAAAGGCAGGUAGAUUGGAGAGGGUGUAUUUGAAAUACCUAAAGUGACUCAGUAGGAAUUCAGCCAAGGAUAAGUAGCUAAACUAAUUAUUCAGAGAAGAAAGAAAGCUCCUCCCAAAACAGGCCCAAGUGCUCAACAAAGGCUUUUUGUUGUUAUUUUUCUUGUUCCUUGUUGUACUAGAGCUAAUGAAUUGAGCUCUGCUGGAUUAGUAGUGGCUCAUUCUCAAGCAUUGGUCUCAGCCACCACAGAGUGGCCUAUGUCCAUAGCAUUAAAUAGCCUUUACCUGCAAAACCAAGUGGCUGCAUGUAGUCAGCAUUCUUUGAACGGUUCCUGGCCAUGUCAACACCCUAAUAGAGCUUGGGACUUGUCUGGGAGGUGUUAGCUGUGCUGGGCAACAUUUGAGUGUUAUUAUGCCUGGAAAUAUUCCAGGAUCUAGAUAGAUUUUCUCCUAGGGAAUUAAGGAUGGAACCUGCAUUCAUACCACAGGCUCUGGCAUUGCUUUCCAUGUCUUGAUUCAUGCUCUGCUCUACUAUGUCUUGAAAGCAGCAUCCAGUAGGAGAAGCCUGGGCUGGACAGUCUCCAUCAGGUCUCUCAAUCCCCGUACUUUGGCAACCAAAGGGCAAGGAUGUCCUGAAGGUGUCAUAAAUCCCAAAGGAGUGCUCUGGAGGUGACCUGGGAAGUUCUAGAGUUUCCAAAAAGAUCAGAUUUUCUCCUCCAAGACCUAUUUUCAUGGGGAAUCUAGAGUCCAGUUACAGAGUUAUGAAGAUGUAUAUAGCAACAGUAUCCAUGAAGCUUAGACUUUUUUCAUCCAAAGGAGAUACACCAGAAGACUCCAGUGGCACAACAAAUACCCUCCAGCUGCACGUGAAUUUACAGCCCAGGAGCCAGACCAGAGAUGCUGUGAGCUAAUGAAACUCAUGAAUGCCUGUCUACACUUCCAGACAUAACCUUUGGAUUUGGUACCAGAUAUUGUACUUUUUGAAAUCCUUGGCUCCCCACUACUGUCAUUCAUUCUGGAGUCAUGACUGGAUACCAAGAGGAGCUGUGUGGCCCCAAGGUGCACAUGGCACUUGGACUUACAGUGUCUGAGAUUGGUCACACUGAAGUCCAAGGGCUACCCCUGAUUACAUGGUUGGAAGGGCAGCAACAACAAGGAAAGAAACAAAAAGCUCUUCUGGGAAAGACAAAUGCAGCAUUAAAAACGUGAUCUGUGUGUCUGUGUUCAUAUGUGUAUGUGUGAGAGCUGGUCUAGUGGAAGGUGUCUGUGCCUGUGGCAGGGGGA